CUAGUCUUCAAGUCUACAAUGAACUUCAUCCAGCUUUUGUUGCUUCUUGUUCUGGUGGUACUUACCAUAUAUGUGAUGGGAUCAGAUGCUUCUCCCUGGAGAUGGCACAGAAGAUGGUCUGAUUCCAGCAGCGGUGGUUCCUGGAGCUGGAGUCGUUGAUAUCGAGAAUGCUCUGCAAAGGAAAUGGUGUCAAAUCCACAUGUCUCUGAAUUCGGCCAAAAUUGUGAAAAAAGUGAAAAUAACUGAACAAAAUGUAAAGUAAUUUUGCAUUUGCGUUCUACAUGCAUAUUAGACAGGGGAAAAAAUAAAUGUAUUGAAUCAA
Long non-coding RNA from Saccostrea echinata, 322 nucleotides. RefSeq lists it as uncharacterized. The transcript has 2 exons. NCBI's taxonomy places the organism in Eukaryota, Metazoa, Mollusca, Bivalvia, Ostreida, Ostreidae. The record is from RefSeq and is a predicted model, not a curated record.